This 1095-nucleotide long non-coding RNA is filed under the name Piliocolobus tephrosceles (Ugandan red Colobus). Its description in RNAcentral is "lncRNA (ENSPTEG00000020136.1)". Lineage: Eukaryota; Metazoa; Chordata; Mammalia; Primates; Cercopithecidae. The record is from RNAcentral.
AUGAUUUUUAUUAUAAUAUUUUUUCAUAAUGUUAUUAAAACUAGUAAUAAAGUAAAAAAAGUUAUUGUUGUUUUAAAUAUGUUUAUACCUAAUAUAAUUAAAUAUUGUAUGUGUAAAUGUCUAAUAGAAACAACAGAACAUUGUUCUAUAUCAUACAUAAAUGAUUUGGUAUCACCUUUAUAUUUAUGUAACUGUAACACUUGUAUAGUAAUAGAUUUAGGUUAUUUGAAUUGUAGGAUAUUACCUGUAUUAAAUGGAUUUCCUUUAUAUUAUCAUUUUACAUAUAUAAAUAAUGGUGGUAUUUAUAUAAAUAAAGAAAUAAAAAAGUUAUUAAAAGAACAGUAUAUAAAUGCGUAUCUAUAUAAAAAAGAAACGAGUUGUAAUGUUUUAAGUAGCGCUAGUGAUGAUUAUGAUGAUGUAGAUUUUAAUACAGAAAAGUUGAUAUAUAUGAGUAACAAUAACAACAAUCGCAUUAACAAUAACAAGAACAAUGAUGACUUUAAUUACCUUUUUGAUAAUUACUUAAAUAUGUAUACAAUGGAGGAAAUAUUAAACGUGAUUGACAAUAUAACAGACAACGAGUUAGAAAAUAUAAAAAUAACGUGUUGUUAUUUAGAAAAUAAAAAAAUUAACUUAACUAGUAAUAAAUAUAUUAUAUAUAAAAUAAAUAAUUAUGAUAUUAUAAUUACACCUGAUAUUAGACGUAAAAGUUGUGAAAUAUUAUUUACCAAAAGUUAUAAACAAAAUUUUUAUUCUUUGUUUUCAACUAUAUUAAACAAACUUAAUAUAUCUGAGUACUCAGUUUUAAAUAAUAUUGUAUUAGUUGGUGGUUGUAGUAAUAUAAAAGGUAUAGUAUCAAGAUUAACAGAAACUGUUUUUAAAGUUUUAAAAAAUAAAAAUAUAUGUAUACAAAAUUUGGAAAAUAAAAUAAACUUUAUUUUUCCUAAGAUAUCUCCUAAUUUGCGUCAAUUUAUAGGGGCAUCUGUUUAUGCUAAUUUAGAUAAUCUUCCUAGUUAUACACGCGAACACAUAGAUAACAACGUUUUGUUUGAUCAUCUGAACGAAGACGUUUACUUUAUGUUUAAAAAAUUUUAG